Microcebus murinus (gray mouse lemur) is the source of this 1744-nucleotide non-coding RNA. Lineage: Eukaryota; Metazoa; Chordata; Mammalia; Primates; Cheirogaleidae. The record is from RefSeq and is a predicted model, not a curated record.
GAUCCUUCUGCCUCAGCUUCCCAAAGUGCUGGGAUAAUGCAGGUUUGGAAACUGAGGCUCAAGAUGUUAUACAGUCUGCUUGAGGUCAUUGUUUAAUGCUGAGCUGGGACUACAACUGGGGCGUGUCAAUUCCCAGGUCAGGGACCUCACUACUAGAUGGCCAUGAUUGCUGUCUUUGGAGAAGGAGCUAGUAUAGCAUUGGACUCAUGAAUUGGGGAGGGGGAGAAUCAAGUUCAAGGAAUGCAGGUCAAUCAUUAAGAGUUUUCCCUGUAGACCCUAUCAGUGAUUCUUUCUCCUACUUCCACUCUGUUCACCUGAGGAAAAGGUGCCAUCAGUAAUAUUUGUUACAUGCAGUGAUUCUCCACUAGGGGGGGAAUAUCUCCAUAUCUUUCCUUAGGGGGCUCUAUCUUCACAUCUUGGGAUCUGGGGAAGGGCUUGUGAGAUUACAUCCUCUUCCCCCCAAGUUGAAUCUAUCCAUCCAAAAGAGCAGGUUUCCCACCCAUUGUGUUGGGAAGGUGGUCAGGGGCCCUGGUUGUCAGGGCUCCAUACUGUGACUUCAUCUAGAUGGCAACUUUGGCAGUGUUCCCAAAAGGUUUGGGGAAGCACAUGGGACCCAGCCACAUUUUGGUCUGAACCUGUGUACGUUUUGUGGGGCUCCGCAAUUGCAUAACAUCGCGAGCUUGGGACUUCACAAGGCAGAGAAAAUAAAAAACAAAGAGGCCUAGAGACACGCACCUGCAUAAGCAGCCGAGCAGAAGUAACCUAUAAACACAAGAAAAGCAGCUCUCGAACAAUUCCAUCUGCAUUUUAUUGAAAGAAAUCUUUGAAAAGGAGAGAGAGAAGGUACAAUUUACAAGAACCAUGGUAUAAAUCCUGCCACAGUGCCAAUUGCUAAAAGCAUUGGAGCCUGGGAAGGAGGGAGAAAUCCAUUCAUUCAUUGCCCCCAGAAAAUAGGCACCCGGGCCCGUGGCAUACCUCAUGCGCCCCGUGGGAUUUACACCUCUGACUGGCUGAUUGCAUGAAUCACCUUGGAUUGAUUGCUUCUAUAUAGAAUGCUCCUUUAUAGCGUGUAUGCUUUCUCAUCGCAGCUCGGCUCAAUUCCAUUCUGCUGAGCCUCUUUGGGACACUUUGCAUGAGAGAUGCGGGAGAAGGUAAUGUUGUGUUUGUUGGUUUCUCCGGUACGUUUCAAGACUGAUUUACUGAUUUAUGCUGGGUGCAGAGGGAAAUUCCAUCAUUCCCACAUCAAGUGAAUCCCAAAUCAAGUGGACCCCUCCUCAUUUCUACAAAGGGCCAUGCACUUUACUCUUUUCCAUAUUGUUAUUACCCUUUUAAAAAUCCCUCAUGGGCACAUAUCUGUCUAUUUUUCUUUCUUCUCUCUUCUUCCUUUUUCCCCCACUGGAAAUAAUUUCCUUCAUUGGAUGUAUUACUCAGCAUGGCUGGUAUUAACAGUGUGCUCAAGGCGGCUGAAUUUCAAGGUUUAUGUUUUCUUCUCUUUAUCUCCUGUGCUGAGCUCUCCCUGGGACGCUGGGGUUCUGUCCCGGUGCCGUCCAACUGUCUUGGCCUUUUAAGGAUUUUCAUCACUCUUGCAGUCCGUAUCUUGCUAGCUGUCAUAAUCAUUCCCGGUGUUCAGGUCACCGAAGACCUCGUUGGAGAAACCUUUCAGGUCACCUGGACUGGCCACGUUGGACUGAAGAGUUGAGGAAAACAAGGGUCGAGACUGCUCCAGGUCCGGGGGGACACAAAU